This 253-nucleotide ribosomal RNA is filed under the name uncultured bacterium. Its description in RNAcentral is "partial 16S ribosomal RNA". It matches the Rfam family "Bacterial small subunit ribosomal RNA", at positions 524 to 776 of the family's 1533-position model. The record is from RNAcentral.
UACGUAGGGGGCAAGCGUUGUCCGGAUUUAUUGGGCGUAAAGAGCGUGUAGGCGGCCUGAAAGGUCAGCUGUGAAAACUCGAGGCUCAACCUCGAGACGUCGGUUGAAACCAUCUGGCUAGAGUCCGGAAGAGGAGAGUGGAAUUCCUGGUGUAGCGGUGAAAUGCGCAGAUAUCAGGAAGAACACCCGUGGCGAAGGCGGCUCUCUGGGACGGUACUGACGCUGAGACGCGAAAGCGUGGGGAGCGAACAGG